Apis dorsata (giant honeybee) is the source of this 632-nucleotide long non-coding RNA. RefSeq lists it as uncharacterized. Lineage: Eukaryota; Metazoa; Arthropoda; Insecta; Hymenoptera; Apidae. The record is from RefSeq and is a predicted model, not a curated record. The transcript has 3 exons.
GAAAGGGGAAAGAUGGUUGUAACAGUAGGUCGUUAAUCGACCGACAGAUGACGUCGUUGGCUUGUAACAAACUGUUCAAGUAGCAUUCGAGCAAGAAAGAAUCCAAGAUGGAGAGCAGAGCGUGCGUUUGCACAUGUAUAAACCGGGCUAUCGACCCGGAUGUUUUGUUCUAAAGGAUGCUCACUUCGCUGAAGUUUCACACAUUUAUCGAUAAUCUUUAUCGUUUUUGGAUCAAAUGGAAAAUAAUUUUUAUCGUGAUCAAUAGAUAGGAUGGGUUAGUGAAAUGAAUAUAAAUGAAGAAUUCUUUUAUUUAUAUAUGAACUUGUUGGAAGAAGACAAAGAAAUAAAACAAAUAUUAUAUGCUUCAUGUUUCGAAAUUGUUACGAAGACAGUUAUACGACAUGAACAGAACGAUCGAAAAAGUUUCAAGGUCUGAAUUGAGAAAUCGUGCGGUAAUCCAUCAUAUGUGUUCGUUAAUCUGACAGAUUUACAACUCUCUUCAAGUUUGCGAGAAGUACGGUACAAGAGAGCGUAAGAUAAUAUCAGACACAUUACCAUGAUUUAUAAGCGAUACGUAUUGAACUUGAUACCAUCGAUAUAAACAUUGGACCGAAUUGCUCUCUCUCUCUCUC